GUGGGACACGGGCGGUGCCCGGCCGGGAGCGCGACGGCAACCUGGAGGGGAUCGGCUGGUCCCAGUCCCGGUUCCAAUCCCGGUCCCGGUCCCUAUCCCGCGGUGCAGCGGGACGGGCCGAGCGCCAUGGUGUGAGACCAGGUCCUGUCUGAGCACUGAGAGCUUCCAGCUUCAGCAUGUGGAUCCAGAGGGGAUUGUCUUGGAGCAGUGCUUUGCUCUGGAGAAGCAGAUCACACCGGAGGAGAGGUGCUGAGAGGUGACAGAGCUCAUCCCCCUGUGUGAUGUUCAGCCAGGGAUGAGAUCCCAGCUGUGCUCUGAGGAAGGUGAUGACAAGCACUCCAACCCCAAAGCUCAGUGGUGUCUGCAAAGCCAACCCAAAUAUCCUGGGAGCUUUAAUGCAUUGGAAACUUGUUAUAGCAGCUUCCUGCGUGGGCUUUGACAGCAUAAUAAAAUAUUAAUACUGAUUGUAA
Long non-coding RNA from Poecile atricapillus (Black-capped chickadee), 470 nucleotides. RefSeq lists it as uncharacterized. The transcript is spliced from 2 exons. NCBI's taxonomy places the organism in Eukaryota, Metazoa, Chordata, Aves, Passeriformes, Paridae. The record is from RefSeq and is a predicted model, not a curated record.